RNAcentral lists this ribosomal RNA (207 nucleotides) under uncultured bacterium. RNAcentral's name for it is "partial 16S ribosomal RNA". It matches the Rfam family "Bacterial small subunit ribosomal RNA", at positions 568 to 774 of the family's 1533-position model. The record is from RNAcentral.
CGCGUAGGCGGCUUAGUAAGUCGGAUGUGAAAGCCCCGGGCUUAACCUGGGAAUUGCAUUCGAUACUGCUGAGCUAGAGUAUGGUAGAGGGAAGUGGAAUUUCCGGUGUAGCGGUGAAAUGCGUAGAUAUCGGAAGGAACACCAGUGGCGAAGGCGACUUCCUGGGCCAAUACUGACGCUGAGGUGCGAAAGCGUGGGGAGCAAACA